Molecule: non-coding RNA, 105 nt
Filed under: Microtus ochrogaster (prairie vole)
Lineage: Eukaryota; Metazoa; Chordata; Mammalia; Rodentia; Cricetidae
Source: RNAcentral
UGCUGGUCUGAAGGUACUGAGCUAUUUAUUACUCAAAGUUAGUUAUAGAUUGGACUCCUAAUCUAAAGUUUCCCCUGUGUCACUACUGUGCCUGACUACUUUUAA